AUGUUGUAGACAGUGAGAAGGUAGUUUGCCCU
This 32-nucleotide non-coding RNA is filed under the name Rattus norvegicus (Norway rat). The record is from RNAcentral. Lineage: Eukaryota; Metazoa; Chordata; Mammalia; Rodentia; Muridae.